AUGUAGCUGACGAGUCCCAAAUAGGACGAAGCGCGCGUCCUGGAU
Molecule: non-coding RNA, 45 nt
Filed under: Schistosoma mansoni
Lineage: Eukaryota; Metazoa; Platyhelminthes; Trematoda; Strigeidida; Schistosomatidae
Source: RNAcentral